RNAcentral lists this ribosomal RNA (504 nucleotides) under uncultured bacterium. RNAcentral describes it as "bacterial SSU rRNA". It matches the Rfam family "Bacterial small subunit ribosomal RNA", at positions 30 to 518 of the family's 1533-position model. The record is from RNAcentral.
AUUGAACGCUGGCGGCAGGCCUAACACAUGCAAGUCGAACGGUAACAGGAAGCAGCUUGCUGCUUGCUGACGAGUGGCGGACGGGUGAGUAAUGGUCUGGGAAACUGCCUGGAUGGAGGGGGAUAACUACUGGAAACGGUAGCUAAUACCGCAUAACGUCGCAAGACCAAAGAGGGGGACCUUCGGGCCUCUUGCCAUCAGAUGUGCCCAGAUGGGAUUAGCUUGUUGGUGGGGUAACGGCUCACCAAGGCGACGAUCCCUAGCUGGGUCUGAGAGGAUGACCCAGCCACACUGGAACUGAGACACGGUCCAGACUCCUACGGGAGGCAGCAGUGGGGAAUAUUGCACAAUGGGCGCAAGCCUGAUGCAGCCAUGCCGCGUGUAUGAAGAAGGCCUUCGGGUUGUAAAGUACUUUCAGCGGGGAGGAAGGUGUUGUGGUUAAUAACCACAGCAAUUGACGUUACCCGCAGAAGAAGCACCGGCUAACUCCGUGCCAGCCGCCGC